AUCUCUUUCUUCUCCAUUCUUUCUUUGUAACUCCCUUUCGGUUUUCAAUCUAGCUAGUGCAAUCUUCAAAGCGCCUCAAGGUACGUAUAGUUCUCACAAGUCACAUGUAUCAAUUUCUUAACAUUCUGAACUAAUUGUUUGUUUACACUCACAAACACACAAAUUAAAAAAAAAAAAAUUAACUCCACCUGUAGUUUCUCUCUCCCCGUUUUCUUUUGUAGUUUUCUUUAUCAAUUAGUUUGCACAAACUUAAAAUAUUAAUUAUCUUCUUUUUUAUUUUUCAUAUUGAUUAUUCAUGUAAUCUAUCUAUUUAUUUCGAGAACUUUUGCAUUUCUGUUAGAAAAAUUAAUAAUCAAUUAUAUGAGCCCCACCAAUGAACCCAACUUUAACUUUACCAAGGCAAACUUCUCAGUAUUUUUAUAUAAGGUUGAGGUGAAAUUAGAGUGAACUCUCUAUCGUUACUCUUCUUAAUAAUUGUUUAGCAUUAUUAUGUCACCGUAAGAAAGGCAAAAUUAUCAAGGAGGUAGAUGAAAAAAGUCAACACCCUACAGCAUAGGGAUGGCAAUAAAAUCCGGAUUCGGCCCGCAUCCGGAAAGAUUUGACAAAUCUGGAUCUAGAAAAAUCUAGUUCUAUAUAUUAAAAAUGUGGAUCCAGGUGCUAAGAAUUAGAAUCCGCCCGGAUCUAAAUUUGAAUCCGGAUGUAAGUGCAUUUAAAAAAUCGAAUAUUCAGAUCUAGUUAAAUUAUAUACUAAAUUAAAAUUAAAUUAAAAAAUUAUUAGUUUUUUAUGUUUGAUUUAUGUGUGGUACUUUUAAUUGUGAAUUUAUAAUGUUGUUUUAUGUUAUUCAUGUUGAAUUGUUGAUUAUUAAAUUAUGGUUGGAUUUUAUUGAUAUUAUUAGAUCAAUUCUUGAAUUUUAAUUUAUGUGGAUCCGAAUAUUCGGGAUAUCCGUCCACAAUCCAUGCUGAUAUUACCUGCAUUUGGAUCCACAAAAAAAAAUUAUGACAGAUCUAAAUAUGAAAAUAUGAAUCUAGAUCCGAAUUCGGAUCUAGAUUUAUCCAUCCUGACAACACUCAUAAGAAAAAUUGCAAUUACUUUCAAGUUAUGUUUGAGAGCUACGACUAACUAUAGGAUAAUAUUAGUUUUGGGAUAAAAUAUUAAUCAUAUAUUUGGCACGCUCUCAUGGAUUAGACAAAUGGACUAAAUAUAAUUUUUUAUCCCAAAUUUUUACAUGGGUUUAAUUGGGAUUAGAUAAUAAGAAGAAAAAAAAUGUUCAUUCAUUCAUGAUAUCUUCUAUGAUUUAUUAUACUUUUUUUUACUUGCUACUUAAAAUUAGUUAUAGUUAUUAAUCAAUUAAUCUUUUAUUAUUCAUGAUUUACUUAAAAUUUAUUAAAUAAUUUUAUUUUUAUUUUAUUUAAUAUGGAAUAACAUAUCUCAAACUAAAAAGCCCAUAAUUUAUAUUUCUUUGUUAUAAUUUUUACUAUCCAAUAACUAAUUUAAUAUAUAUUUACUUUCUUAUUAGUUUUCUUAAAAUUAAUUAUAAUAUUUCUUAUUAAAUAUCUAUGAGUAAUUUAUAUUAUCAACUUAAAUACUAUUUAACUUUAGUUAAAUAUAAUUUAAUAUAGUUCAAUUCGAUACUAUAUAAAAUAUGAGAUAAUAUCAUAUAUAUAUAGUCUAACUAAAUUUAAUUCAAUUUAAUUUAGUCCAAUCUAUAUUUGAGGCUGUCAAAGCUACUAACUUUGACAACAUAAAUGCAUCGAAUUCGGUGCCAAAAUUGUUGGAAAGCAGCCCACGCAAUUUAAAAAUAUAUAUACAUAUGAACAAUAACCAAUUCAUUAGCUAUAAAAGGAGGGGUACUUCCCUCAUUUCAUUUAUCCCCUUCAAUUCACUUAUUCUUUUGAGAGUGAAAAGCCGGGAGUUUGAGAAGUGAGAGAAUUAAGAGUUCUAAUAAACUCUUGAGUGAUUAGUAAUUUGAGAAUUUGGGUAUAUUAGGGUUUUGAGUUGUGAGACAAAAUAUGAUAAUAUUUUUUCAUUUCACUAAUAAAAUAUUUCCUUCUUUCUUCGCCUGUGGACACAGGCAAAAAGUCGAACCAUGCAAUUUAUAGUAUCCUUUGCUUAUUCUUCACUUUUCUCCAAUUUCAUUUUAGUCGUGGCCCUGCUUCACUUAUCAAUUUCUUAAUAGUGGUAUCACAACUUUUAGUUGUCAAAUUACUAUUCACGUAUAUGGUACUAUUCACGUAUAUGGUUAUUGUUCAUAUGAAACGGUGAGAGUCAAUCCUAGCAAAGGCAGCUAGUGGUGAAAAGCAACAGCGACAAAGUACAAAAUUUAGAAGUUCAGCGGAAAUAAUUUCUCUUUGUGGAAAAUGAAGAUGAAGGCUAUUUUGAGGAAACACAGUUGCUUGGCAGCAAUAGAGAAAAACCCACAGAGAUAACUAAUGAUGUCAAGUGGAAUAAGAUAAAUAGUAAUGCAAUUACUAAUCUAGAUUUAGCAUUGGGUGAUGAAGUGUUAUUUAGUACAGAGGAAAAAAAGACAGCAAAGGAAGUACGAGAGACUUUUUCAAAAUUGCACUAGACCAAGUCUUUACAAAAUAAGAUUUUCUUAAAAUGAAAAUUUUACACUCCUUGAAUGGCGGAAUCUGCAUCAGUGAUGGACUAUGUCAACACCUUAAAGACUCUAUUUUUACAACUCACAAAGUUGAGUAAUAAAAUAGACAAAACUGAACAUGCAAAGCUUUUACUUCAAAGUCUACUAGAUUCUUAAUCAACUCAUCAUCAAUCUAAUGAACAACAACUAAAUAGACAAUCUAGUCUUCGAUGAUGUUACAACCUCAGUAUUAAAUGAAGAAAGCAGGCAAAAAAAUAAAAAAGGCAAGCAGUCGAGUUUACAAUAAGUGGAAGCAUUAUUAAUGAUGAAAGUGGGAGAUCAAUGGAACAUGGCCUCAGUAGGAGUCACAAUCAUGGUACAUCAAAAUUGAGUAAGAAGAUGUCAAAUAUUAUAAUUGUGGCAAGAAAUGGCACGUUAAGAAAGAGUAUUGAAAAAAAUAAGUAGAGUGAAGUGAAAUACAAGUUAUGCAACCCAAAAGGGGGGUGAAUUGGAUUUUAAAACUUAUGCUAAGCAAACUACACAACAAUUCAAUCUAAUGCCUUAGUGGAAUCGAAAACAAUAAAUUCAAUCACACACAAUAAUAAAAGAGUAAGGGAAGAGAAAACAAACAGAAGGAUUUUUACAUGGUUCGGCAAUCUCCGCCUACGUUUACGCCUCUAAGCAAACUAAGCUUGAUGAUUUCACUAUCCAAGCCUCCCAAGGCUUCAAGUUCUUUAUAAUUGACUUCCAAGGUGUCAAUAAACCUUUACAAUCAAGAGAUUAUCUCCCCAAUCUCUUCACCCCAAGUGUUUCUCACACUUGUACACUUACAAUUUGAUGAGAAAUGAAAAUUACAAUAAACAACUCUCUUUUAGAGUGGAUAUACAAAUGAUAGCUCAAUGAAGAUUUAAUCUAUGAUGAUUUUCGAAUUUGGAAGCUCAAAAUAUGUUGUUUUCACUUGUUUAUGCUUGCUAAGCUUGCUAAAAAUGAAUUGAAUAUGAGUUUAUAUAGUUUCACCCCAAAAACUAGCCAUUAUAGACUUUCUAGUGAUAACUGGCUUGCCGCUUUAUGUUACCGUUACAUUCAAAGAUUUGAAUUUUGCACAUCCGGCAUGUCGCUUUCUUAAUCCGGUUAGCCGCUUUCAUUCCAAAGAGCUUCUACCCAUAACCGGCUUGCCGCUUUUUCAAAUCCGGCUAGUCGUUUUGCUACAGUGAUUGCUACAAUGAACUAUUUUCUAAAAUUAUAAUUUUACCCCAAAACUUUCUAUAACUACACUAUGGCCCAAAAUGCUAUGCAACUUUUCAAAUAAGUCCUUCUCCGGAAUUCCAAGUAAUACUUGUUGAUUUCAAAGUUUUUAAAACUCUUUCAAUUAGACCAUAAACUUGAAAAACAACAAAUUUCAUAAAAUCAUCUUUCCAUUAAAUAUAAAACCUUUAUAUUAUGAAGAUAAUGAUUUAUUUAAAAAGUAUGAAAAAUAACUUGAGCUUUUAAAAGCUUAAUCAUUCUUAAUUUUGUUUGUUAUCAUCAAAAUCAACAUUAUGGACACAUAAAUGUUAACAAUUUCCCCCUUUUCGAUGAUGACAAGCUUUUCACGUAUUUAAAGAAUGAUUGCACAAAUUGCUCUCCCUAAAUGUAAGCUCCCCUUACAAUUUGAGUUUCUAAAAGAUUAAUCAUUCUUAAUCUUGUUUGUUAUCAUCAAAAUCAACAUUAUUGACACAUACAUGUUAACAUGAAGAUAAUAAAACUGAGUUAUCAAAUGCUUAAGGCUGUGUAGCGAGUACUUCUAAUGAUGGUAAAAUUCUCUACAACAAGGUAACAAUUGUUGCAGAAGGCAGGAAAUUGCUAAUGUCUAGGUUAUAGACUCAAGAGCAACAUAGCUUCUGACAUAUCAGAGAGAAUGGUUCUACAUAUAUAAACCUAUCUCAUGAGGAUUUGUAUACAGGGGUGAUGAUCAUGCUUUGUAAAUCGCUGGUAUUAGUAUUGUCAAAAUAAAAAAAAAUUAAUGGUACAGUUCACACAAUUGAAGAGGCACAAUAUGUCAAAGCCCUAAAGAAGAAUCUAUUGUGUUUGGGACAAACAGAUUGUAUUGGGUGCAAAACUCAUGUGAAAAAUAGGAUCAUGAAGAUUGUUAGAGGAGUUUUUGUAUUGAUGAAGGUGGAAAAAUUGAUGUUAAUCUAUUCAUGCUUAAAUAGGAAAAAUUAUAGAAAGCUGAAUUGCGAGUUGCGAAAAAUGGGUAAGAGUCGAGGAUGAUGUGGUAUCUUAAUCAUGGCCACAAGUCGGAAUAAAGUUUGAAGAUUCUCUCUGAGUGAAAGUUGCUUCCAGGGCUUAAAUGGUGAACUUACCAUUUUGCGAGCAUAGCAAAUUUGACACCAGAAGUAAAUGCAUUCUAGACAUAGUUUAUUCUAAUAUUUGGGAAUCACCAAUGUCUCCUUAGGAGGUGUAAAGUACUUGGUAACUUUCAUUGAUGAUUACUCCAAGAUAUUUUGAGCGUAUCUAAUCAAGAAAACAUUAUAUGUGUUUCCAGAAUUCAAAGAAUUCAAAGCAUGGGUUGAAAUUGAAUCCAGGAAAAGAAUUAAGUGAUUGAGGACAGAUAAUAGUAAACCGAUUCUAGCAAAAGUAGCCAAAAUUACUUGUCAUGUAGUAAACCAAUUGCCAUAUACGACAAUUGGAUUGAAGACUUAUGGAAAUGUGGACUGGGAAGCUAGCUGAUUACUCGCAUUUGCAUGCAUUUGGAUGUCGUAUGUACAUGAUGUACAAUGCUCAAGAAAGAACAAAUUGGGAUCCAAAAUUUAGGAGAUAGAGUAAAGGGGUAUCGUCUGUAGAUUCCCAUUGCCCAUAAGAUUGUCAUCAGCAGAUAUGUUAUCUUUGUAGAAAAUCAACUAUAAAGGAAAAGUGGGGAUGAUAGUUGUUGAGUGCUAGAAAAUGUAUAUUUGUAAAGGAGAAAAUCGUCAUUUUACACUUCAAGUCUCACUAACAUCUCUACUUUUAUGUAUUUAAGUCCAUUCUAAUUUAAUUAUGUGUGUUUUAUUAUAAUUAAGCAUUUUAUGUAUUUUAGAGGGUAUCAUGGCCAUUUCACAAUGAAUGAGAUAUUAGAUAGCAAAACGGAUAUCAAUUUUGAACUUAGGACAGUCGAAAACCUUAAAAGGAGCAUAAAAGAAUAAAUGACACUGUUCACAUGUAUGGUACUAUUCAUGACACUGUUCACAUUUACAGUCCGAUGAUAUGGCGUUGACUGAUGACGUGGCACCGACCGAUGAUGUGGCAGCAUUCGAUUGGACGAAUGAGGUGGCAUUGAAUGCUUAAGUGGCGUUGACUGAUGAAGUGGUGUUGACCGAUGAUGUGGCGCGAUUCUAUUGGACUAAAAUGUUGAUAUGGUGUUGACCGGUGACGUGGCAGUAUGUUAGUGGACCAAAAAAAGUGCAUACGGUACAUGCAUAUACACGAAAUGACAUACCUGAUUAUGUAUUCGAUCUAAUCAGAACUUGCCACGUGGUGCAAUCCUGAGCGUCCAAAUUGUUUUAAUAUGGUGGCCAUGAUUUACUCAGUGUAUCUAUAAAUAGGGGGCUUCCCCCUUAAUUCG
This 6159-nucleotide long non-coding RNA is filed under the name Citrus maxima (pomelo). Its description in RNAcentral is "long non-coding RNA (CMAX_LNC001165)". The record is from RNAcentral. Lineage: Eukaryota; Viridiplantae; Streptophyta; Magnoliopsida; Sapindales; Rutaceae.